AACGGCCGCGGUAUCCUAACCGUGCAAAGGUAGCAUAAUCACUUGCCUAUUAAUUGUAGGCUAGAAUGAAUGGGUUAACGAAAUAAAGACUGUCUCAAUUAAUCACCUAAAAAUUAAUAUCUAUCUGAAGAAGGGUAGAUAAUCUCGAAGGACAAGAAGACCCUAUAGAGCUUAAUUUUAAUUAUAGGACUACACUAUAAAAAUAUUCGGUUGGGGCGACCCAGGGCUAAUCAAUCACCCACUACAUAAAAGAUAAAUUAAUCAAGUAAUUGACCCCUAAAAGAUCAUAAAAACAAGCUACCUUAGGGAUAACAGGCUAAUCCCACUCAAGAGUCCUUAUCAACAGUGGGGUUUGGCACCUCGAUGUUGGCUUAGG
RNAcentral lists this ribosomal RNA (376 nucleotides) under Metaphire sieboldi (earthworm). RNAcentral describes it as "partial 16S ribosomal RNA". It matches the Rfam family "Bacterial large subunit ribosomal RNA", at positions 1926 to 2541 of the family's 2925-position model. Lineage: Eukaryota; Metazoa; Annelida; Clitellata; Crassiclitellata; Megascolecidae. The record is from RNAcentral.